Molecule: long non-coding RNA, 503 nt
Filed under: Carica papaya (papaya)
Lineage: Eukaryota; Viridiplantae; Streptophyta; Magnoliopsida; Brassicales; Caricaceae
Description: long non-coding RNA (CPAP_LNC008677)
Source: RNAcentral
GCAGAGCCGCCGUGCCGGAGUUGCGGUAUUGGCCGAAAGGGGCCCUGGACCUAAUUUGGAAUUUUUUGGAACACGUGUAGGUACCAGUAGUGCGUUUCAGUUCCCCGGAAAAAAUUCAGGGAAAAUUGGGGACAGCUUGUAGGCGCACUGUGAAGCCGUGUUCGGACCCCUAAACGAGUAAGGACCCCUCACCCUAUUUUCUAUCACGGUAUUAAAGUUCAAUAAAUGAUAAAAUGAUAUUUCAUGAAUCAACGAAUGUAUGAAAUUGCUUAAGGUCGCUAAUGGAGCCCGAGUCUAGUGUGUUUGUCGAUUAACUGUGAUUUGGUCUGUUUUACAGUUUUAAAUGCAGUAUGAGGUUUGAUGUUUUCAUUUUAUAGUUUCGUGUGCAUAUUUUACUGUUUUAUUGAUUAUUGGUUGAAUGACUGAAAUACCGAUGCUGUAUGUUGUCUGUUUGGCAUGAAUUACUAUUUUGCUUAUCUAAAUGCGAAUUGAUGAUGCUGAUU